Molecule: long non-coding RNA, 747 nt
Organism: Budorcas taxicolor (takin)
Lineage: Eukaryota; Metazoa; Chordata; Mammalia; Artiodactyla; Bovidae
Exons: 3
Source: RefSeq, a predicted model, not a curated record
GGCCUCGCCAAUGCCUCCUAAACAGCUUUGCGCUCCUUGAGACCCUCAUCUUCGUGGGGCGGGAGACCCUUCCUCCUUGGGUCACCCGAUCCACCCGACUCUUUUCCUUUGAGCGGCGUGAAGGCAGAGGCAGCAAGAUACAAGUUGUGGUUUGCCAACCUCUGAUCUAGAACAAGAUACCACAUCUCCCGGGAAAGUCUUUCCUGGAACCCAUGGCUUUAUCUUCACUCUGCUCACAUACUGCUUGUGGCAAGAUCCACUUUCCACGUUUACGAUGUCUUAUUAUAUACUCUGAUGCUGGGAAAGAUUGAAGGCAGGAGGAGAAGGGGACAACAGAUGAUGAGAUGGUUGGAUGGCAUCACCAACUCGACGGACAGGAAUUUGAGCAAGCUCCAGGAGUUGGUGAUGGACAGGGAAGCCUGGCAUGCUGCAGUCCAUGGGGUUGCAGAGUUGGACAUGACCGAGCAACUGACCUGAUUAAACAUUUAUCUCUAUCAGGGAGUAACUUCUGUGAAGAAUGCACACUGGACUUCCGUGGUGAUACAGUGGAUAAGAACCCACCUGCCAACGCAGGGGACAUGGGUCUGAUCCCUGGUGCAGAAAGAUCCCACAUGCCACAGAGCAACCAGGCCCGUGUGCCACAAUUACCGAGCCCACGUGCUGCAACUACUGAAGGCCAUGUGUUAAGAGCCUACGCUCCACAACAAGAGAAGCUGGCACAGUGGCAAAGGCCAUGCACCGCAACUG